UGGGGAAUAUUGCACAAUGGGCGCAAGCCUGAUGCAGCAACGCCGCGUGAACGAUGAAGGUCUUCGGAUCGUAAAGUUCUGUUGCAGGGGAAGAUAAUGACGGUACCCUGUGAGGAAGCCCCGGCUAACUACGUGCCAGCAGCCGCGGUAAUACGUAGGGGGCUAGCGUUAUCCGGCUUUACUGGGCGUAAAGGGUGCGUAGGUGGUCUUUCAAGUCGGUGGUUAAAGGCUACGGCUCAACCGUAGUUAGCCUCCGAAACUGGAAGACUUGAGUGCAGGGGAAGAAAGUGGAAUUCCCAGUGUAGCGGUGAAAUGCGUAGAUAUUGGGAGGAACACCAGUAGCGAAGGCGGCUUUCUGGACUGCAACUGACACUGAGGCACGAAAGCGUGGGUAGCAAACAGG
Molecule: ribosomal RNA, 403 nt
Filed under: Verrucomicrobiota bacterium
Lineage: Bacteria; Pseudomonadati; Verrucomicrobiota
Description: Verrucomicrobia bacterium partial 16S ribosomal RNA
Rfam family: Bacterial small subunit ribosomal RNA
Source: RNAcentral